CUAAUGAUGUGCCGGGAUCUGGGGUAAGACGUGGGGGGCGAGCGUUGGCCGGAUUUAUUGGGCGGAAAGCGCGCGUAGGCGGCUCAGUAAGUCGGGUGUGAAACCUCCAGGCUCAACCUGGAGACGCCACCUGAUACUGCUGUGGCUGGAGUCCGGUAGGGGAGCGUGAAAUUCCUGGUGUAGCGGUGAAAUGCGCAGAUAUCAGGAGGAACACCAGCGGCGAAGGCGGCGCUCUGGGCCGGUACUGACGCUGAGGAGCGAAAGCGUGGGUAGCAAACAGGAUUAGAUACCCUUGUAGUC
This 300-nucleotide ribosomal RNA is filed under the name uncultured Lactobacillus sp. Its description in RNAcentral is "bacterial SSU rRNA". It matches the Rfam family "Bacterial small subunit ribosomal RNA", at positions 497 to 795 of the family's 1533-position model. The record is from RNAcentral. Lineage: Bacteria; Bacillati; Bacillota; Bacilli; Lactobacillales; Lactobacillaceae.